Molecule: precursor RNA, 851 nt
Filed under: Solanum lycopersicum (tomato)
Lineage: Eukaryota; Viridiplantae; Streptophyta; Magnoliopsida; Solanales; Solanaceae
Description: precursor microRNA 395
Rfam family: mir-395 microRNA precursor family (bases 267-357)
Source: RNAcentral
UGAGAUUAAAAGACAAGAAUAAAUUACCUUUUCAUAUAUUCUCAAACUUUAAUAUUACCCAUAUUUGUAGACACAUUCAAUAUAAUGUCACCCCAUAUCCUAGUUCAGACCUCACUUUCAUAUUUAGGAUGGAAUUUUCUUAUAAAACAAAUGUUAUAAAUAGGAGUGUAUGUUGUGACAACAUUAAACAAACAAUUGAAGUGCAAGAGUAUUACUACUAGCUAGUUGGAGAUGAUGAACAAAAAUGAUUUUCUAAAUCUAUCAAGGUGUUCCCUAGAGUUUCCUUGACCGCUUCAUUAGGGCUUACUUCGUUGUUUGAUGUCCUGCUGAAGUGUUUGGGGGAACUCCUGGGCUCACUCUGAAAUUUUACGCAAAUUAAACAAAUAGAAGUGUUUGCUGAUUGUGGAUGAUGAACGAGAUAGUUCAAGUAUAAAUCUAUCAAGGUGUUCCCUAGAGUUCCCUUGACCACUUCAUGAGGGCUUACUUUGAUGUUGGAAGCCUUGCUGAAGUGUUUGGGGGAACUCCCGGGUUGACUUUGAAAAUUACGCAAACAAGUAUAUAUAAAUGCAUGAGUACGUAUUAGCUAAAGAUGAUGAGUACAAUAUUGAUUCAUGUACCUUUGGAGUUCCCUUGACCACUUCAUGAGAGCUUAAUAUUUGAUUGUUUGAAGUCCUACUGAAGUAUUUGAGGUAACAUUCGGAUCUACUUUGAAAAUUACAAAAAACAAUUAAUUAAAAUCAUGAAGAUUGGACGUUAAUUUUUGUUCUUUUAUUAAACCAGAGCUUUAUUUUAGCCGUAUAAUUAUCCAUUUUGAGCUACAUUGUAUACUCAUUGGAAUAAAGCUUGUAGCU